GUGCCAGCCGCCGCGGUAAUACGUAGGGGGCAAGCGUUGUCCGGAUUUACUGGGCGUAAAGAGCGCGUAGGCGGAGAUCUAAGCGUGGCCUGAAAGCCCCCGGCUCAACCGGGGAGUGCGGCUGCGAACUGGGUUUCUUGAGGACGAUAGAGGAGAGUGGAAUUCCUGGUGUAGCGGUGAAAUGCGUAGAUAUCAGGAGGAACACCCGAGGCGAAGGCGGCUCUCUGGGUCGUACCUGACGCUGAGGCGCGAAAGCGUGGGGAGCGAACGGGAUUAGAAACCCCCGUAGUCC
This 292-nucleotide ribosomal RNA is filed under the name uncultured bacterium. Its description in RNAcentral is "partial 16S ribosomal RNA". It matches the Rfam family "Bacterial small subunit ribosomal RNA", at positions 505 to 796 of the family's 1533-position model. The record is from RNAcentral.